Molecule: unclassified non-coding RNA, 348 nt
Filed under: soil metagenome
Description: partial contains 5.8S ribosomal RNA, internal transcribed spacer 2, and large subunit ribosomal RNA
Rfam family: 5.8S ribosomal RNA (bases 1-120)
Source: RNAcentral
GAUGAAGAACGUAGCGAAAUGCGAUAAGUAAUGUGAAUUGCAGAAUUCAGCGAAUCAUCGAGUCUUUGAACGCACAUUGCGCCCCCUGGUAUUCCGGGGGGCAUGCCUGUCCGAGCGUCAUUGCCGCCCUCAAGCACGGCUUGUGUGUUGGGCCCCCGCCCCCCGGCUUCGGGGGGCGGGCCCGAAAGGCAGCGGCGGCACCGCGUCCGGUCCUCGAGCGUAUGGGGCUUCGUCACCCGCUCUGUAGGCCCGGCCGGCGCCCGCCGGCGACCCCAAUCAAUCUUUCCAGGUUGACCUCGGAUCAGGUAGGGAUACCCGCUGAACUUAAGCAUAUCAAUAAGCGGAGGA